Molecule: ribosomal RNA, 443 nt
Filed under: uncultured bacterium
Lineage: Bacteria
Description: partial 16S ribosomal RNA
Rfam family: Bacterial small subunit ribosomal RNA
Source: RNAcentral
CCUACGGGAGGCAGCAGUGGGGAAUAUUGGGCAAUGGAGGCAACUCUGACCCAGCAACGCCGCGUGAAUGAUGAAGGUCUUCGGAUUGUAAAGUUCUGUGAUGGGGGAUGAACACAAUGACGGUACCCCAAUAGCAAGCCACGGCUAACUACGUGCCAGCAGCCGCGGUAAUACGUCGGUGGCAAGCGUUAACCGGAAUGACUGGGCGUAAAGGGCGCGUAGGUGGUUUAGUAAGUUGGCGGUGUAAUUCCGGGGCUCAACCUCGGCGCUACCGCCAAAACUAUUAGACUAGAGUGCAGGAGGGGUAAGUGGAAUUCCUAGUGUAGCGGUGGAAUGCGUAGAGAUUAGGAGGAACAUCAGGGGCGAAGGCGACUUACUGGACUGUAACUGACACUGAGGCACGAAAGCGUGGGGAGCAAACAGGAUUAGAUACCCUUGUAGUC